UUUACAGCCACCCUGACAUCUCUCACCACACCAAUAGAACCAUCUACUACAUCCACCAGCGAACCAACUACACCACAAACCAUGCCGCAGGGCCGUUCCCUCAUCUCCACCUAACUCAAGCCCAACCCUUGUACCUUUUGCAUCAUGGCCUAGCAAGCCCCGAAGUAAUCCAAAACCCCGAAAUCUAAGUGAGCUAGAAACAUGCCGUCAAGAACCCACAGCACUUUGUUGCAUCAAGGCCUACAGACAUGUUACUAGAGGCUACAUACCUACCGCACAAGAAAAUAGCUGGUUCUCAACCCCAUCGUCACAGCGACACAAUCUUGAAGCCCCGGUCUCUCCCCCCUAUCCAGAUUUCCUACGCCUCCAAGGACAAGCUUAGAGGCCCUCACUAUUACCACAUAAAGCACUCCCCCUUCUAAAGGCCCAACACCAGCCACAAGAAAUUUGAACGUCCUAGUCUCCUCUGACAACAGCUAAAAAUACUGCCCAAAUACCCAUGCUACCCCUAUCUGAGCCCCCAGACAAACCCAAAUCCCCUGGCACGACUCUGCUAAGAUUAGUAUUUACGGCCCCUAACCGCCCACUGCCCUAAACAAACCCCUAUAAUUGCCCACUCAUCCAACCCAUAGAGAAGGAACUCGGCAAACACCCGACCCGACUGUUUACCAAAAACAUUGCCUCCAGGACCACCUAUUGGAGGUACAUCCUGCCCAGUGAUCUUUUCAACGGCCGCGGUAUCCUGACCGUGCGAAGGUAGCAUAAUCAUUUGCCUUUUAAUUGAAGGCUAGUAUGAACGGAUAAACGAGGUCCAAGCUGUCUCCUCUAUGCCAGUAAAAAUUAGCCCUCAGGUGAAGAGACCUGAAUCCAAAUAAAAGACAAGAAGACCCCGUUGAGUUUAAGUCAAGCCCGGCCCUCCUAGCCAGUGACACUUUAGUUGGGGCGACUAAGGACUACCUAAACCGUCCUUCCCACCAUAAGACCCGUCAGUCUUACGCAAUGACCCUUCACAUAAGAUCCAGAGAACCAACUACCACGGGGAUAACAGGCUUAUCUUCCUAGAGAGCCCAAAUUGAUAGGAAGGUCUGGCACCUCGAUGUUGGCUUAGGGAAGCCAGGAAGCGCAGAAGCUUCCACAGGCUAGUUUGUUCAACUAUUAAACCCCUACAUGAGCUGAGUUCAGACCGGCGCAAGCCAGGUUAGUUUCUAUCUUUAUUUUAACCCCGACAUCUCUCUUGAUAGUACGAAAGGACCUUGAGACGAGAAACUUUUUCAACCGUAAAACCACGAAAAAAUAUAAACUACCAUUAAGUAAUACUAAACUA
RNAcentral lists this ribosomal RNA (1324 nucleotides) under Panthalis oerstedi. RNAcentral describes it as "16S ribosomal RNA". It matches the Rfam family "Bacterial large subunit ribosomal RNA", at positions 583 to 2812 of the family's 2925-position model. Lineage: Eukaryota; Metazoa; Annelida; Polychaeta; Phyllodocida; Acoetidae. The record is from RNAcentral.